GACGAACGCUGGCGGCGUGCCUAAUACAUGCAAGUAGAACGCUGAAGGAGGAGCUUGCUUCUCUGGAUGAGUUGCGAACGGGUGAGUAACGCGUAGGUAACCUGCCUGGUAGCGGGGGAUAACUAUUGGAAACGAUAGCUAAUACCGCAUAAUAGUAGAUGUUGCAUGACAUUUGCUUAAAAGGUGCAAUUGCAUCACUACCAGAUGGACCUGCGUUGUAUUAGCUAGUUGGUGAGGUAACGGCUCACCAAGGCGACGAUACAUAGCCGACCGGAGAGGGUGAUCGGCCACACUGGGACUGAGACACGGCCCAGACUCCUACGGGAGGCAGCAGUAGGGAAUCGUCGGCAAUGGACGGAAGUCUGACCGAGCAACGCCGCGUGAGUGAAGAAGGUUUUCGGAUCGUAAAGCUCUGUUGUAAGAGAAGAACGAGUGUGAGAGUGGAAAGUUCACACUGUGACGGUAUCUUACCAGAAAGGGACGGCUAACUACGUG
This 495-nucleotide ribosomal RNA is filed under the name uncultured bacterium. Its description in RNAcentral is "partial 16S ribosomal RNA". It matches the Rfam family "Bacterial small subunit ribosomal RNA", at positions 28 to 507 of the family's 1533-position model. The record is from RNAcentral.